UACAGAGGGUGCGAGCGUUGUCCGGAAUCACUGGGCGUAAAGGGCGCGUAGGUGGCGACCCAAGUCGAUGGUGAAAGCUCGCCGCUCAACGGCGAGUCGGCCACUGAUACUGGGUUGCUCGAGCACUGUAGAGGCAGAUGGAAUUCCGGGUGUAGCGGUGGAAUGCGUAGAGAUCCGGAAGAACACCGGUGGCGAAGGCGGUCUGCUGGGCAGUAGCUGACACUGAGGCGCGACAGCGUGGGGAGCAAACAGG
This 253-nucleotide ribosomal RNA is filed under the name uncultured bacterium. RNAcentral describes it as "partial 16S ribosomal RNA". It matches the Rfam family "Bacterial small subunit ribosomal RNA", at positions 524 to 776 of the family's 1533-position model. The record is from RNAcentral.